This 253-nucleotide ribosomal RNA is filed under the name uncultured bacterium. RNAcentral's name for it is "partial 16S ribosomal RNA". It matches the Rfam family "Bacterial small subunit ribosomal RNA", at positions 524 to 776 of the family's 1533-position model. The record is from RNAcentral.
UACGUAGGGUGCGAGCGUUGUCCGGAAUUAUUGGGCGUAAAGAGCUUGUAGGCGGUCUGUCGCGUCUGCUGUGAAAAUCCGGGGCUCAACCCCGGACUUGCAGUGGGUACGGGCAGACUAGAGUGUGGUAGGGGAGACUGGAAUUCCUGGUGUAGCGGUGAAAUGCGCAGAUAUCAGGAGGAACACCGGUGGCGAAGGCGGGUCUCUGGGCCAAUACUGACGCUGAGGAGCGAAAGCGUGGGGAGCGAACAGG